GACGAACGCUGGCGGCGUGCUUAACACAUGCAAGUCGAACGGAAAGGCCCUGCUUUUGUGGGGUGCUCGAGUGGCGAACGGGUGAGUAACACGUGAGUAACCUGCCCUUGACUUUGGGAUAACUUCAGGAAACUGGGGCUAAUACCGGAUAGGAGCUCCUGCUGCAUGGUGGGGGUUGGAAAGUUUCGGCGGUUGGGGAUGGACUCGCGGCUUAUCAGCUUGUUGGUGGGGUAGUGGCUUACCAAGGCUUUGACGGGUAGCCGGCCUGAGAGGGUGACCGGCCACAUUGGGACUGAGAUACGGCCCAGACUCCUACGGGGGGCAGCAGUGGGGAAUAUUGCACAAUGGGCGGAAGCCUGAUGCAGCAACGCCGCGUGCGGGAUGACGGCUUUCGGGUUGUAAACCGCUUUCGCCUGUGACGAAGCGUGAGUGACGGUAAUGGGUAAAGAAGCACCGGCUAACUACGUG
RNAcentral lists this ribosomal RNA (468 nucleotides) under uncultured bacterium. RNAcentral describes it as "partial 16S ribosomal RNA". It matches the Rfam family "Bacterial small subunit ribosomal RNA", at positions 28 to 507 of the family's 1533-position model. The record is from RNAcentral.